RNAcentral lists this unclassified non-coding RNA (345 nucleotides) under soil metagenome. Its description in RNAcentral is "partial contains 5.8S ribosomal RNA, internal transcribed spacer 2, and large subunit ribosomal RNA". The stretch from base 1 to 120 matches the Rfam family "5.8S ribosomal RNA", at positions 35 to 154 of the family's 154-position model. The record is from RNAcentral.
GAUGAAGAACGCAGCGAAAUGCGAUACGUAAUGUGAAUUGUAGAAUUCAGUGAAUCAUCGAGUCUUUGAACGCACAUUGCGCCCCCUGGUAUUCCGGGGGGCAUGCCUGUCCGAGCGUCAUUGCUGCCCUCAAGCACGGCUUGUGUGUUGGGCCUCCGUCCUCCUCCCGGGGGACGGGCCCGAAAGGCAGCGGCGGCACCGCGUCCGGUCCUCGAGCGUAUGGGGCUUCGUCACCCGCUCUUGCAGGCCCGGCCGGCGCUUGCCGACACAUCAAUCUUUUUUCCAGGUUGACCUCGGAUCAGGUAGGGAUACCCGCUGAACUUAAGCAUAUCAAUAAGCGGAGGA